UACGGGGGGGGCAAGCGUUGCUCGGAAUCACUGGGCGUAAAGCGCACGUAGGCGGCUUUCUAAGUCAGGGGUGAAAUCCUGGAGCUCAACUCCAGAACUGCCUUUGAUACUGGAGAGCUUGAGUCCGGAAGAGGUGAGUGGAACUCCGAGUGUAGAGGUGAAAUUCGUAGAUAUUCGGAAGAACACCAGUGGCGAAGGCGGCUCACUGGUCCGGUACUGACGCUGAGGUGCGAAAGCGUGGGGAGCAAACAGG
RNAcentral lists this ribosomal RNA (253 nucleotides) under uncultured bacterium. RNAcentral describes it as "partial 16S ribosomal RNA". It matches the Rfam family "Bacterial small subunit ribosomal RNA", at positions 524 to 776 of the family's 1533-position model. The record is from RNAcentral.